UACGUAGGGGGCAAGCGUUAUCCGGAUUUACUGGGUGUAAAGGGAGCGUAGACGGCAGUGCAAGUCUGAAGUGAAAUGCAUGGGCUCAACUCAUGAACUGCUUUGGAAACUGUACAGCUAGAGUACCGGAGGGGUAAGCGGAAUUCCUGGUGUAGCGGUGAAAUGCGUAGAUAUCAGGAGGAACACCGGUGGCGAAGGCGGCUUACUGGACGGAAACUGACGUUAAGGCUCGAAAGCGUGGGGAGCAAACAGG
RNAcentral lists this ribosomal RNA (253 nucleotides) under uncultured Lachnospiraceae bacterium. RNAcentral describes it as "partial 16S ribosomal RNA". It matches the Rfam family "Bacterial small subunit ribosomal RNA", at positions 524 to 776 of the family's 1533-position model. The record is from RNAcentral. Lineage: Bacteria; Bacillati; Bacillota; Clostridia; Lachnospirales; Lachnospiraceae.